AUCGAUGAAGAACGCAGCGAAAUGCGAUAAGUAAUGUGAAUUGCAGAAUUCCGUGAAUCAUCGAAUCUUUGAACG
Molecule: ribosomal RNA, 75 nt
Filed under: Nannizzia persicolor
Lineage: Eukaryota; Fungi; Ascomycota; Eurotiomycetes; Onygenales; Arthrodermataceae
Description: 5.8S ribosomal RNA
Rfam family: 5.8S ribosomal RNA
About the family: 5.8S ribosomal RNA (5.8S rRNA) is a component of the large subunit of the eukaryotic ribosome. It is transcribed by RNA polymerase I as part of the 45S precursor that also contains 18S and 28S rRNA.
Source: RNAcentral